GAUGAACGCUGGCGGCGUGCCUAAUAUAUUCAAGUCGAGCGAAAAGACGAGGAGCUUGCUCCUUUGACGAUAGCGGAGGACGGGUGAGUAACACGUGGAUACCCUAGCUAUAAGACUGGGAUAAAGUCGGGUAACUGGCGCCAAUACCGGAUAAUAUCUUGCACCGGAUGGUUCAAUAGUGCAAGCUGGUUUUACUGUCACUAAUAGAUGGAUCCGCUGCGGAUUAGCUUGUUGGUUAGGUAACGGCUUAGCAAGGCGACGGUGCGCAGGCGACGGGAGGGGGUGAUCGACCAUACUGAAACAGAGACACGGACCACACUCCUACGGGAGACAGCAGUAGGGAGUCUUCCGCAAUGAGCGCAUGCCUGACGGAGCAACGCCGCGUGAGUGAUGAAGAUCUGCGGAUCGUAAAACUCUGUUAUUCGGGAAGAACAAAUGUGUAAGUAACUAUGCACGUCUUGACGGUACCUAAUCAGAAAGCCACGGCUCACUACGUG
Molecule: ribosomal RNA, 497 nt
Filed under: uncultured bacterium
Lineage: Bacteria
Description: partial 16S ribosomal RNA
Rfam family: Bacterial small subunit ribosomal RNA
Source: RNAcentral